RNAcentral lists this long non-coding RNA (2509 nucleotides) under Equus caballus (horse). Its description in RNAcentral is "lncRNA (ENSECAG00000060346.1)". Lineage: Eukaryota; Metazoa; Chordata; Mammalia; Perissodactyla; Equidae. The record is from RNAcentral.
CACAAGGGAGGUAGAGAGAGAUUUGACUACAGAAGAGGGGAAGGCAAUGCGAUGACUGAAGCAGACGCAGUGGCAGCCACGAGCCCCAGAAGAGGCAAACAACAGGGAGACUCAACUCUACCGACAUCUUGAUUUUAUCCUUGUAAGACUCAUUUUGGAAUUCUGGUCUUCAGAACUAUGAGAGGAUAAAUUUCUGCUGUCUUAAGCCACCAAGUUUGUGGUAAUUGGUUACAGCAGCAACAGGAAAGGAAUAGAUUCUUCCAGCUGUUGGGUACCCUGGGCUCCAACACUUCACACUGGAAACUCCAGCAGCUGUCGGGAGGUAUGGAAGGAACCAAGAACUGAUGGCUGAGCUUGAAGCCCAUGGAAAACAAUCAUGGCAGCUACCUGGGCCAAUCGCUCUGCUUUAUAGAGGAGGAGGUUGAGUCUCAAAAUGGGAAAGUGAUUUGCCUGAGGUCAUAGAGUAAGUAGCAAAGUAAAGGGUAGAGAGCUCAGGCCCAUGGUGCUCCAGCUCCAUGAGAUGGAGUAGAGACAGAAAGGCUCUCUCGAUUCAGUUGUCAAUGCAACCCUAGGCAAGGGUAGGAAGUCUGCCUUACCUCCCUCCCUUUUUCUGGGCUCUUUCUCUGUUUCAAGGACCACUCUCCACUGCUAUCUAGAGUCUUUCUAGAGGCUCCUGUGUAAAACUCCUCAUGUGACAAGGGUCAGAAACCUUAGCUCAAGCCAAAGAGAGAAUUUAUUGGCUCAUAAUUAGACAGUCUGAGGGAUGUGCUGGCUUUAGGUAUGGCUUAAUCCAUAACCAAUCUAUAAAUGAAAAUUGGGGUGAGUUUAUUCUGAGCCAAAAUGUGAGGACCAUAGCCCGGGGCCUUCCUUCUGCAAGGAAGGAAGGGCACCAAAGAAAUGAGGUGUACAGAGUGGUUAUAUACCCUCAAAGAGCAUGUUUCACAUAUGGUUGAAACAUCCCUUUUAUAAUAGUCACGAGACUGCUCUGUUGGCACAGAGAUUGAUGGACACAGCAGGUAGUAGGUCUGCUGUCUCAGUGGACACAGCAGGGUGACAGGUCUGUUGUCUUGAGCUGGUGGUCACAGGUGAGCACAGCAAUCAGUUCCUAGCCUAGGGAGAGAUGAUUAUCCUUAAGGAAAUGCCAAUGUGGGGGAAGUUGCUCCUUUAUUUUAAUCUUUAUCUUAAGAAAUGCUUAAAGUGGAUAUACAAUGCGUCCACAACGGCCAUGUCAGACCUUUUUGGAAAAACAAAGUCAGGCUGAAUUAGGUUUACACCAAAGGCCUUCCUCAUAUACUCUAAUAUAGCCUAUUGCUUGCCAUUUCUAUUUGUCGGGCUGGAUCCAGGUGUUCCACAAUUCCAUCUCCCUCUUUCCAUCACUCCUCUCCUUUUUUCAGCUUUAUUUCAUUUUCAGACAAACUCUCACCUCAUGGUGAAAAUUUAGACUCUAGCAACUCAGGGUUUACUUGGUCAUUACUGCUCUGAGUUACCUCAGAGAAAGAGGUCUUCUCUUUCCAGUGCCCCUUUGUCAAAUCUCGUGGAAGGACACUGACUGGUCUUGGAUGAGCCACAGUCCUCCCUGAGCCAGUCCCUGUGGUCUGGAGAAUGCUGUGUUCUGAAAUUUAUUCAAACAGGAAAGAAGCGGUAUAUAACCAGAAAGAGGAGUGGAUCAAUGAUGGGUAUUCCACACAUAUCCAUGCACCUGUCCUUCUUGAUGACCUUCUGUUCCUGACUUAUUCCUACUCCCCUUUUCUACCAUUAAAGCUUCCAAAUUCAGCGUUCCAUUCCAACAGGCCUGGUCUCUGACAUGUUGUGGUGUCAAUGGCAGAGAGCCGUGUGUUCCAUAAAUAUGCAUUGGUUAUAAAUAAGUAACGGUUUUCUUUUUUAUUCGAUCUGGGGAAGUUUUAUUUUGUGAGGGACGUUCUGUUGCUUCUAUAGAAGUCCUUGCAGACAGGGACCAGGCCUUGCUCAUCUCUGGGUUCACCCCAGCAUGUAGCAUUGUGCUUCUCUCAAGUGGGGGCCCAAUAAAUGCCUGUUGAGAACCCUCCUCCGCCUCUUCUGCUGCUGUUCCCAUCCCCCCACCCUGUGCUCUGUCCGUGCUGAAGGUUCCACCGUUCUCAAACCCCAGAGACCCUUAAUCUAUACCAGCAUGCAUUUCCCCUGCCCAAAAUAUCCCCCCACCUCCUUCGACAUACCUAAGCUCCCUGAAGGCGGGGACCACAUCUAUCUUUUUAUCUGUGUGUCAGUCAGCGUUCUGGCAGGAACAGAAGGCGCACUCAAAUCAGAGGACUUGAGGAGAGUGACUAUUUGCAAGGGAUGGGCAGGGUUUAGGGGUGCCAAAAAGGAAUAGCACUGUGCCCCGGGCUGGUGACCCCAUUCUACCUUUCUACCCUGAAUAGACAAGUGAGGGGAUCUGGGACUCGAAGGGAGAACUUUGUGAAGGCCACCUGGCACGAGCCGUGGCCUCUGGUGGGGGGAUGCAAUCAAUCCUAGGCAACCCUGGAGGGCCAUU